RNAcentral lists this ribosomal RNA (321 nucleotides) under uncultured eukaryote. RNAcentral describes it as "partial 18S ribosomal RNA". It matches the Rfam family "Eukaryotic small subunit ribosomal RNA", at positions 1470 to 1796 of the family's 1831-position model. The record is from RNAcentral.
CCCUUAGAUGUCCUGGGCCGCACGCGCGCUACACUGACAUGUUCAACAAGCCUCCUAGUUCGACAGGAUUUGGGAAAUCUUUGAACGCAUGUCGUGAUAGGGAUAGAUCAUUGCAAUUAUUGAUCUUGAACGAGGAAUUCCUAGUAAACGCGAGUCAUCAGCUCGCAUUGAUUACGUCCCUGCCCUUUGUACACACCGCCCGUCGCACCUACCGAUUGAAUGUUUCGGUGAAGAUUCCGGAUAGGACUUUUUUGAUUUAUUUCAAUUUUGUCUUAAAAGCUAUCUAAACCUCAACAUUUAGGGGAAGGUGAAGUCGUAACA